CCUACGGGCGGCAGCAGUGGGGAAUAUUGGACAAUGGGCGAAAGCCUGAUCCAGCCAUGCCGCGUGUGUGAAGAAGGCCUUCGGGUUGUAAAGCACUUUCAGUGGGGAAGAAAGCCUUGGGGCUAAUACCCUCGAGGAAGGACAUCACCCACAGAAGAAGCACCGGCUAACUCCGUGCCAGCAGCCGCGGUAAUACGGAGGGUGCGAGCGUUAAUCGGAAUUACUGGGCGUAAAGCGCGCGUAGGCGGUCUGAUAAGCCGGUUGUGAAAGCCCCGGGCUCAACCUGGGAACGGCAUCCGGAACUGUCAGGCUAGAGUGCGGGAGAGGAAGGUAGAAUUCCCGGUGUAGCGGUGAAAUGCGUAGAGAUCGGGAGGAAUACCAGUGGCGAAGGCGGCCUUCUGGACUGACACUGACGCUGAGGUGCGAAAGCGUGGGUAGCAAACAGGAUUAGAUACCCUAGUAGUC
RNAcentral lists this ribosomal RNA (465 nucleotides) under Vreelandella stevensii. RNAcentral describes it as "partial 16S ribosomal RNA". It matches the Rfam family "Bacterial small subunit ribosomal RNA", at positions 338 to 795 of the family's 1533-position model. Lineage: Bacteria; Pseudomonadati; Pseudomonadota; Gammaproteobacteria; Oceanospirillales; Halomonadaceae. The record is from RNAcentral.